Long non-coding RNA from Vigna unguiculata (cowpea), 677 nucleotides. NCBI's taxonomy places the organism in Eukaryota, Viridiplantae, Streptophyta, Magnoliopsida, Fabales, Fabaceae. The record is from RefSeq and is a predicted model, not a curated record.
GAGAUAACUCAUUAGCUGACUUGGCCAAAACGCACCGUAUCACUAAGACCCUUUCCUUGACCCACUGACCCAUCUUUGAAUAAAGAGGAAGUCUCGAGCUGUAGGAAGUGGGGCUGGCACUGAGUUUUUGGACCUGGAACGCUGAGCAGAAGUGGAUUGAAAGGUUGGACGCUGGGCAAAAACUAAUGUUAGCAUCAAAGCUGCAGAAGACAAGGGUUAGAGUAAGCUUAGAUUACUGGAGGAGGGCACUUGAGUGCUGAACAGAACAUUGGGACUCCGAGACUGCAAAACCAGAUUUCAGUGCUCUCUCUUUUGAGGUGAACCAAUCCUUGACGUAGCAUCUUAGAGGGUGGAAACCUAUUUGGAGCUUGAAGCCUUGAAAAGAGACAAGAAGAGGAGGAUUGGAGAGAAGGGCUUCUUUUUUGUUGUAUUCACAAAUUCUUUCUUUGAGUUGUAAUUUUUAUCUACUUUCUUCUUUGUAACUUUGGCUUAAUGAGGUGUCUUAGGAGAACAUUUGGUGUUUAGUCUCAUGUCCUAAUUAGAAUCUUAUACUCUAUUGUGAAUUGCUUUUAGUUGGUUAGUGUUUUGAAGAUUCUAAGUGCCUCCUAAGCUUACCAUUAGGUUGCAUAGAUUAGAUUCAUUGUUUUCUUUGAUUGUGUGUCUACUUUCAUAUCAAA